RNAcentral lists this ribosomal RNA (497 nucleotides) under uncultured bacterium. RNAcentral describes it as "partial 16S ribosomal RNA". It matches the Rfam family "Bacterial small subunit ribosomal RNA", at positions 28 to 507 of the family's 1533-position model. The record is from RNAcentral.
GAUGAACGCUGGCGGCGUGCCUAAUACAUGCAAGUCGAGCGAACGGACGAGAAGCUUGCUUUUCUGAUGUUAGCGGCGGACGGGUGAGUAACACGUGGAUAACCUACCUAUAAGACUGGGAUAACUUCGGGAAACCGGAGCUAAUACCGGAUAAUAUUUUGAACCGCAUGGUUCAAAAGUGAAAGACGGUCUUGCUGUCACUUAUAGAUGGAUCCGCGCUGCAUUAGCUAGUUGGUAAGGUAACGGCUUACCAAGGCAACGAUGCAUAGCCGACCUGAGAGGGUGAUCGGCCACACUGGAACUGAGACAAGGUCCAGACUCCUACGGGAGGCAGCAGUAGGGAAUCUUCCGCAAUGGGCGAAAGCCUGACGGAGCAACGCCGCGUGAGUGAUGAAGGUCUUCGGAUCGUAAAACUCUGUUAUUAGGGAAGAACAUAUGUGUAAGUAACUGUGCACAUCUUGACGGUACCUAAUCAGAAAGCCACGGCUAACUACGUG